AUGAGAGAGAAGAAGAAGAUUACAGUGAGAGAGCAUGCAGAGGAAGAGGAGAGCAUGGUUCCAGUACAAUACAACAAGAGGUUGUGGAAGGAAGGAAGUGAAGCAGUGCACAAUAGUAAAAUCCAGUGUAAGAAGAAGAUUUUGCAAAUGGAAAAGAAGUUUGAGUGUAAAGGGCUCGUGUUCUUGCCUCAAGAAAAGUACUGGGAAGAGAACCCUGGGAAAGCAGUUCCUCUCAUGAAACCAAAGUUUUAUGGCGGUCCGUGGAGGGUAAUGGGGGGUGAGAUUCCCCGAUAUGAGUGA
Non-coding RNA from Vicia faba (fava bean), 300 nucleotides. The record is from the annotation of a GenBank genome assembly. NCBI's taxonomy places the organism in Eukaryota, Viridiplantae, Streptophyta, Magnoliopsida, Fabales, Fabaceae.